Molecule: non-coding RNA, 885 nt
Filed under: Exyrias puntang (Puntang goby)
Lineage: Eukaryota; Metazoa; Chordata; Actinopteri; Gobiiformes; Gobiidae
Description: partial 12S rRNA
Rfam family: Bacterial small subunit ribosomal RNA
Source: RNAcentral
ACCCCCGUGAGAAUGCCCUACCUACACCAACCAGUGGAGAAGAGGAGCUGGUAUCAGGCACAAACAUCUUAGCCCACGACGCCUUGCUCAGCCACACCCCCACGGGUACUCAGCAGUAAUAAACAUUAAGCCAUGAGUGAAAACUCGACUUAGUUAACAUCAAGAGGGCCGGUUAAACUCGUGCCAGCCACCGCGGUUAUACGAGAGGCCCGAGUUGACAAAACCGGCGUAAAGAGUGGUUAAUAGUUUGUAAACUAAAGCCGAACACCUUCAAGACCGUUAUACGCAUCCGAAGGCAGGAAGACCUCCAACGAAAGUGGCUUUAACCUCAUAUGAACCCACGAAAGCUAAGGCACAAACUGGGAUUAGAUACCCCACUAUGCUUAGCCAUAAACAAAAAUACCCCCACACACCAGCUAUUCGCCAGGGAACAACGAGCCCCAGCUUAAAACCCAAAGGACUUGGCGGUGCUUUAGACCCCCCUAGAGGAGCCUGUUCUAGAACCGAUACUCCCCGUUCAACCUCACCCUCCCUUGUUUUCCCCGCCUAUAUACCGCCGUCGUCAGCUUACCCUGUGAAGGACUUAUAGUAAGCAAAACCGGUACAACCUAAAACGUCAGGUCGAGGUGUAGCGAAUGAGAGGGGAAGAAAUGGGCUACAUUUACUGAAACAGUAAACACGGACAUUGCGCUGAAACAAGCAUCUGAAGGAGGAUUUAGCAGUAAGAGGAGAACAGAGCGCCCCUCUGAAAACGGCCCUGAAGCGCGCACACACCGCCCGUCACUCUCCCCAAUAAACACAACUGAUAAAUAAUACAACCUAAAAACAUAAGGGGAGGCAAGUCGUAACAUGGUAAGUGUACCGGAAGGUGCACUUGGAAAAACC